This is a non-coding RNA of Phrynosoma platyrhinos (Desert horned lizard), 72 nucleotides long. Lineage: Eukaryota; Metazoa; Chordata; Lepidosauria; Squamata; Phrynosomatidae. The record is from the annotation of a GenBank genome assembly.
GCCAGUGUGGCAUAGGGGCUUGAGCAUUGGACUAUGAUUCUGGAGACCAGAGUUUGAUUCCCAGCUCAGCCA